RNAcentral lists this ribosomal RNA (529 nucleotides) under uncultured bacterium. Its description in RNAcentral is "bacterial SSU rRNA". It matches the Rfam family "Bacterial small subunit ribosomal RNA", at positions 777 to 1304 of the family's 1533-position model. The record is from RNAcentral.
AAUAGAUACCCGGGUAGUCCACGCCGUAAACGGUGGGCGCUAGGUGUGGGGGGACUUUCCACGUCCUCUGUGCCGCAGCUAACGCAUUAAGCGCCCCGCCUGGGGAGUACGGCCGCAAGGCUAAAACUCAAAGGAAUUGACGGGGGCCCGCACAAGCGGCGGAGCAUGUGGCUUAAUUCGACGCAACGCGAAGAACCUUACCAAGGCUUGACAUGCAGGGAAAUCUCGUAGAGAUACGGGGUCCGCAAGGGCUCUGCACAGGUGGUGCAUGGUUGUCGUCAGCUCGUGUCGUGAGAUGUUGGGUUAAGUCCCGCAACGAGCGCAACCCUUGUCCUAUGUUGCCAGCGAGUAAUGUCGGGGACUCAUAGGAGACUGCCGGGGUCAACUCGGAGGAAGGUGGGGAUGGACGUCAAAUCAUCAUGCCCCUUAUGUCUUGGGCUGCGCACAUGCUACAAUGGUCGGUACAAAGGGCUGCGAGACCGCAAGGUGGAGCGAAUCCCAAAAAGCCGGCCUCAGUUCGGAUUGGGGU